AUAAAAAUAAGCUAAUUAAGCUAAUGAGUUCAUACCUCAUUUAUAUAGACAAAAAUCUAUUUUUUAUU
This 68-nucleotide transfer RNA is filed under the name Marilia sp. XG-2021. RNAcentral describes it as "tRNA-Met". Lineage: Eukaryota; Metazoa; Arthropoda; Insecta; Trichoptera; Odontoceridae. The record is from RNAcentral.